RNAcentral lists this ribosomal RNA (494 nucleotides) under Tetraopes tetrophthalmus (red milkweed beetle). RNAcentral's name for it is "eukaryotic LSU rRNA". Lineage: Eukaryota; Metazoa; Arthropoda; Insecta; Coleoptera; Cerambycidae. The record is from RNAcentral.
GAGUUCAAGAGUACUUGAAACCGUUCAGGGGUAAACCUGAGAAACCCGAAAGGUCGAAAGGGGAAAUUCAUUCGCGUCUCGGCGAUCGAGGCGAGACGUUCGCGCGACGGACGGCGUACGCGUCGUCCGAGCCUUGCGUUUCGAGAUUCGGCGUCGAACGCGUGCACUUUUCCCCUAGUAGGACGUCGCGAUCCGUCGGGCGUCGGUUUAAGGCCCGCGCAGGAGACCGGGAGCACGUCUUCGCGGACGUUUCGCUCCCGGACGCGCGGCGACCCGGCCGACUCGCUCGACGGUAUACAGAUGGCGCGGGGCCGCUACCUCUUCAGUUAGCGUUCGGCCCGCGGCAAGCGCGUUCGGUGAAAGGCGGCGAUCGGACCCGGUGCCGGUUCCGUCCCCGAACGACUGUUGGCCGCGGUGUUCUCGAACAGACCCCGUCUCUCGAAACGCCGAUCUGCGACGCYAUAGCUUUGGGUACUWUCRGGACCCGUCUUAAA